RNAcentral lists this ribosomal RNA (1433 nucleotides) under Acinetobacter junii. Its description in RNAcentral is "16S ribosomal RNA". It matches the Rfam family "Bacterial small subunit ribosomal RNA". Lineage: Bacteria; Pseudomonadati; Pseudomonadota; Gammaproteobacteria; Moraxellales; Moraxellaceae. The record is from RNAcentral.
GCUUAACACAUGCAAGUCGAGCGGAGCGAGGGUGCUUGCACCUUAGCUUAGCGGCGGACGGGUGAGUAAUGCUUAGGAAUCUGCCUAUUAGUGGGGGACAACAUUCCGAAAGGAAUGCUAAUACCGCAUACGCCCUACGGGGGAAAGCAGGGGAUCUUCGGACCUUGCGCUAAUAGAUGAGCCUAAGUCGGAUUAGCUAGUUGGUGGGGUAAAGGCCUACCAAGGCGACGAUCUGUAGCGGGUCUGAGAGGAUGAUCCGCCACACUGGGACUGAGACACGGCCCAGACUCCUACGGGAGGCAGCAGUGGGGAAUAUUGGACAAUGGGCGGAAGCCUGAUCCAGCCAUGCCGCGUGUGUGAAGAAGGCCUUUUGGUUGUAAAGCACUUUAAGCGAGGAGGAGGCUACUGGUACUAAUACUACUGGAUAGUGGACGUGACGUACUCGCAGAAUAAGCACCGGCUAACUCUGUGCCAGCAGCCGCGGUAAUACAGAGGGUGGCGAGCGUUAAUCGGAUUUACUGGGCGUAAAGCGUGCGUAGGCGGCUGAUUAAGUCGGAUGUGAAAUCCCUGAGCUUAACUUAGGAAUUGCAUUCGAUACUGGUCAGCUAGAGUAUGGGAGAGGAUGGUAGAAUUCCAGGUGUAGCGGUGAAAUGCGUAGAGAUCUGGAGGAAUACCGAUGGCGAAGGCAGCCAUCUGGCCUAAUACUGACGCUGAGGUACGAAAGCAUGGGGAGCAAACAGGAUUAGAUACCCUGGUAGUCCAUGCCGUAAACGAUGUCUACUAGCCGUUGGGGCCUUUGAGGCUUUAGUGGCGCAGCUAACGCGAUAAGUAGACCGCCUGGGGAGUACGGUCGCAAGACUAAAACUCAAAUGAAUUGACGGGGGCCCGCACAAGCGGUGGAGCAUGUGGUUUAAUUCGAUGCAACGCGAAGAACCUUACCUGGUCUUGACAUAGUAAGAACUUUCCAGAGAUGGAUUGGUGCCUUCGGGAACUUACAUACAGGUGCUGCAUGGCUGUCGUCAGCUCGUGUUCGUGAGAUGUUGGGUUAAGUCCCGCAACGAGCGCAACCCUUUUCCUUAUUUGCCAGCACUUCGGGUGGGAACUUUAAGGAUACUGCCAGUGACAAACUGGAGGAAGGCGGGGACGACGUCAAGUCAUCAUGGCCCUUACGACCAGGGCUACACACGUGCUACAAUGGUCGGUACAAAGGGUUGCUACCUAGCGAUAGGAUGCUAAUCUCAAAAAGCCGAUCGUAGUCCGGAUUGGAGUCUGCAACUCGACUCCAUGAAGUCGGAAUCGCUAGUAAUCGCGGAUCAGAAUGCCGCGGUGAAUACGUUCCCGGGCCUUGUACACACCGCCCGUCACACCAUGGGAGUUUGUUGCACCAGAAGUAGCUAGCCUAACUGCAAAGAGGGCGGUUACCACGGUGUGGC